GACGAACGCUGGCGGCGUGCUUAACACAUGCAAGUCGAACGAAGAGCGAUGGACGCUUGCUUCUAUCAAUCUUAGUGGCGCACGGGUGAGUAACGCGUAAUCAACCUGCCCUUCAGAGGGGGACAACAGUUGGAAACGACUGCUAAUACCGCAUACGAUCUAAUCUCGGCAUCGAGGAUAGAUGAAAGGUGGCCUCUACAUGUAAGCUAUCACUGAAGGAGGGGAUUGCGUCUGAUUAGCUAGUUGGAGGGGUAACGGCCCACCAAGGCGAUGAUCAGUAGCCGGUCUGAGAGGAUGAACGGCCACAUUGGGACUGAGACACGGCCCAGACUCCUAAGGGAGGCAGCAGUGGGGAAUCUUCCGCAAUGGACGAAAGUCUGACGGAGCAACGCCGCGUGAGUGAUGACGGCCUUCGGGUUGUAAAGCCCUGUUAAUCGGGACGAAAGGCCUUCUUGCGAAUAGUGAGAAGGAUUGACGGUACCGGAAGAGAAAGCCACGGCUAACUACGUG
This 510-nucleotide ribosomal RNA is filed under the name uncultured bacterium. RNAcentral describes it as "partial 16S ribosomal RNA". It matches the Rfam family "Bacterial small subunit ribosomal RNA", at positions 28 to 507 of the family's 1533-position model. The record is from RNAcentral.